UACGGGUUGAAGCAUGACCGUAAGGACAUGUGGACAGUAUGGGAGUGAGAAUGUUGGCAUGAGUAGCGAGAUGUGGGUGAGAAUCCCACAGGCCGUAAACCCAAGGUUUCCAGGGGAAGGUUCGUCCACCCUGGGUUAGUCGGGACCUAAGCUGAGGCCGAAAGGCGUAGGGGAUGGACAACAGGUUGAUAUUCCUGUACUACCGAU
This 207-nucleotide ribosomal RNA is filed under the name Clostridioides difficile. RNAcentral's name for it is "partial 23S ribosomal RNA". It matches the Rfam family "Bacterial large subunit ribosomal RNA", at positions 1244 to 1451 of the family's 2925-position model. Lineage: Bacteria; Bacillati; Bacillota; Clostridia; Peptostreptococcales; Peptostreptococcaceae. The record is from RNAcentral.